UUUCACUGGAUGAUCAUCUUCAAUAAAUCCAUAAUUAAAACUCUAAUAAAAUAUUAGCGUUUUCAACAGCUUCAAGGCAAAGAGGGAAGAUAUUAAGGAAGAGAGAAAAGGGGAGAGAAGGAGUACAAG
This 129-nucleotide long non-coding RNA is filed under the name Monodelphis domestica (gray short-tailed opossum). RNAcentral's name for it is "lncRNA (ENSMODG00000038485.1)". Lineage: Eukaryota; Metazoa; Chordata; Mammalia; Didelphimorphia; Didelphidae. The record is from RNAcentral.